This 262-nucleotide unclassified non-coding RNA is filed under the name uncultured fungus. RNAcentral's name for it is "partial contains 5.8S ribosomal RNA, internal transcribed spacer 2, and large subunit ribosomal RNA". The stretch from base 1 to 52 matches the Rfam family "5.8S ribosomal RNA", at positions 103 to 154 of the family's 154-position model. Lineage: Eukaryota; Fungi. The record is from RNAcentral.
AACGCAACUUGCGCCCUCUGGUAUUCCGGAGGGCAUGCCUGUUUGAGUGUCAUGUAGCCUCAAUCCCCCGGGUUUCCGGGAAGAUUGGACUUGGGCGUCUGCCGUGCCACACGGCUCGCCUUAAAUGACUUAGUGGGACGACUGACUGUAGUCGGGAGUAAUAAGUUUCUCUCGGUCACGUUGGUUCAACCGCUCAUAACUCUGUGUUUACACAAUUUAUGACUCUGACCUCAAAUCAGGUAGGACUACCCGCUGAACUUAA